AUCAGCGGUGGCCUGGGGUACCUAAUGGCGGCCUCCCUCACAUCCGCGGCCGGUUGGUAUUCGAGACCUCUGCUGAUCC
Molecule: non-coding RNA, 79 nt
Filed under: Spodoptera frugiperda (fall armyworm)
Lineage: Eukaryota; Metazoa; Arthropoda; Insecta; Lepidoptera; Noctuidae
Source: RNAcentral